CACAGGGGGAAAAACAGCCCCACCUGUCUUAGAGAUUCCACAAGGCUGACUGAAUUUCCAUGAUUGCAGAUAGAUGGAAUGUUAUAGGUCCCGAGCCAAAUUAACUUGUGCUAUCUUAAGAGCCAAGGAAACUACUUCCCAAAGCACAGAUCUGGUCUAAUGCACACGUCCCAGGAGUAGCUUUAGCUUGGAGAAGCUUGAGAUCUUCGCGGGUGAGGGGGGGAGGAGAAGCAGAGUCAAGAGGGAAAUGCUCAGGAAAAAAAGCUUACAUUUCGUACUUGAUGGUCAGUUGUGUUUGUUGUCAUUUGACAAAAUUAGAAUCAACUAGAGGAUGGGCCUGAGUAUGUCUGUGAGAGAUUACAGUGACUGGCAAGAUGCACCUGCUGUGGGAAUGGAAUCCUGAACAGUAUAAACACGGAGACAAUGAGCUGAGCACAUUAAAAACUUGGUGAUGUGUGUAAUCCCAGUGCUGGGAGGCAGGAAAGGUGGAACUUGAGGGCUUUCUUGUCUGCCCACUUAGCCUAGUUGGUUGGUCAUCAUUAAGAUUUAAAAAAAAAAAAAAAAAAAAAAAAAGGGAAGGUAGUUUUGCUCCUGGGGAGUGACAGCUGAGGCUAUUAAACCCUGGCCUCCGCAGGGAGCUGACACACACCUGUGCUCACACAUACCUACACAUACACAUGCACACACGAAGACUGAAGUCAAAGCAGCCUUGAUUGUCAGUAACAGGCUUCCAAUUAUCUACUUGGAAAACCACGCCCAAUGAAACGAGCAUCGCAUGAGAAUUUACUGUUAUUCAACCAGUUUUAACAUCGUAGUGAGACAAAAUGCGUCCACGUUUCGGAGAUAGUUUCGCUCUACAAAGGAUGAUGCAGGAAGGUUUGAGGCCGGCUUGGGCUACCUGUAUGAUCUCGGGUCAGUCUGAUGUACAUAGGGAGACGCUACCCAGAAACUCAAAAGGUUCUCCUUGAAGUUUGUGUUUGUAAGGAUUUAGUUUACCUACUUUUCUCCUCGGUAUGCCCUCAACAUGGCAUGAAAGACUUUAGAAACUGGGAUUCACCAUAAUGCUCACCAACUCGGGAAUUUCCUACCACGCCUCUGAAAGGCUGGGAUUGUUGGCGUCCACCACCUCGUCAGUCGCCUACUGCAUCACUUUACAUUAAAAACUAGCAAUAGAAAGUCUUUGCAGUAACCUCACUCAGUCCUGAAAGUCGGCGCAGAGCUCCGGACAGGUCGCUCCCCGCCCACUUCUGGUUGCACGCUUCCGGUGGCGCUACGCGUUGUGCCGCCCCGGCACCCUUUCGGUCCCGCAGCAUCGCUGAGGUUCGGCGGCUACGGUCGCUCAAGCGGCCGCAGGACCGGUCGCGAUGCUCCACGGGACUCCAGGGGACAGCGGGCCUCUUCAGAGCAACUUCCGGACAUCCUGCUCCGUGGAGCUCCCGCGAAACUCGGUUCCGCCUGCGUACUGGGUGACGUGACCGGAAGGGCGGGCUUUGGCUACGGAGCCUCCAACUCGGCCUUCCGUAGGCGCGCUCUCGACUUGCUGAGCCAAUCGAAAGCCACGUUUUGUCGUAACAGCCAAUCUGAGAGGCCCGGAGCCUUUAAGGCCCUCCGUGGGCUGCACUUCGGCCUCUGUCUUGCUCGGAAGUUCUUUUGUUCGCCGUCUCUGGUGUUUCUACCGUGUGUACCUGCUCGCGUGCAAUCCGCCGCCAUCGCGCUUUGGGCGAGCAUUGUAAUGGGUAGUAGAGAGGCGGCAGCCGAGCGGAGGCCGACCUGGCUUUGGCGAUGGUGGCGCGCGCUCUGGAGGACCGAUCGGAGACCAGCGCCCGGAGGCGGCUCACUGAUGUGGAGGUGACGGAGGAGCUUUUGGUGUGACCUGGCGCCAUGUGUGUGAUACCACACGAGCUUGACCGAGCGUGCCACGCAAUCAUAAUUCAGCGAACCUUUUGCUUCGAUGAGGCAUCGUGUUGGUGAUGACUAGAAGACAUACGUGGCUUGGAAGAUGACGUGAAAUACACAGGAAAGGAAAGAAGUAAAAGGAUGUUUUGCUUAAGAGUAUGCCAUUUGCAAAUUCAUUCAAUAAUUUGGAGAUUUAUAUAAGGGCCUGUUCAGACAGUGGUGUUUCUGAUUCCUGCUAAGGAAAGUGCUCCACACAAGCCUGAUGACCUGAGCUAAUUCCUGAGGCCCACAGGGUGGAAGAUGAGAGUUGACUCCUGAAAGUAUCUUCAAACCACACAUACACAAUAAGAAAAAACAAUAUAGUAAAGCUGAAACAUUAGAGUGUUGCUGUUUUAUUGAAAUGUAAAAUGGUACAAGUAAUUAUGGAACAAAUGUAUUCCAUACCUUGUGACAGUUUUGUGUAAAACCUUACCCUCUUCUAAAUGAGAAAGGGAUUAAAGUUGUCAAAAGAAUUUAACUUUUAAGUCUUUCAUUUUCUUUUAUAAAGGUUUAUUUCUGAUGGUAUGUUGUAUGUUUGUGUGCCCUCAUACAGCUGGAGUUACAGACAGUUGUGAGCUGCCUGAGGUGGGUACUGUGAGCAACAUGCUCUCACAAGUACCAAGUCAUCUCUCCAGCCCAACUUUUUGUGAAUGAAUUUGAAAGUUUUUGCAUUUUGGAGAAAAAGCAAAAGGGAGGUGUGCUGUUGUAAUGUGGCAGUUGCCAAUCAAAAUGAACUGUAACUUCUUGUCAGUUGCUGCCUGGUAAGAGGGCUAGCCCAGACACAACCUACUAGAAGUGUCCUUAUUACAUUUCAGGAACCAUGCCAAAUAGGGUGGCUGCCCAAUACAACCAGGUAGUUUGUCUUCAGAUCCAAUUGUACUGCUGUCUGUCCGGUUCAUUUGUAGUAUACUUAAUAAACAUAGUUUUCUACUAUUCUGACUUGGGUGAGUUCUUUUACUGUCUGCUACUCCAAACCACAGCAUUUGGUGGCUCAAGGGGAGUGGAGAACGCAAAACUCUUAGGACUCUCCUUCAAUUAAGGAAAUAACGUCAGAGCAACAUUGGCUUUGAAAGUUGUCCAGAUGUUCAGUUACAUUCACUCUUAAGAGUAGAGGGCCAGCAGGGUGUUGGUGGCACACUCCUUUAAUCCCAGCACACAGGAGGCAGAGGCAGGCAGAUCUCUAAGUUUGAGGCCAGCCUGGUCUCCAGAUCCAGUGCCAGGAUAGGCUCCAAAGCUACACAGAGAAACCCUGUCUCAAGAAAACUAAAAAGAAAAAAAAAGUUGAGGGCCAAUGCCCCUGGUUUUAGUAGGAGAAUGAAUGUUCCUGGUAAAAUCUGUGGUUAUGUCCAAGGGUUAAACUGCCUUGCCUUGUCUGAUAGAAGACCUUAAUUGUCAGGCAGCUUAUCCAGAGAAAAUCUGCACAUUGGCCCAUCUUUAUCUACUUUUUCAGGCUUAUCAGGAGUUGGCAGCCACUGAGAAGCAGUAGUAUAUCUGGUUACCCGACUGAGGCCAUACCUUAGAAACCUCAGUUUUUGUUAUUCCUUUUAUGUCUUCCCUUCUGGCCUUCAUUCUGACACUAAUGUCAUCUGAGGAUUUCAUGACAUCUGAUCUGAGAACUGGGAAACCUUAGGUUUCUUGCCAUUUAGCUGUCUGCCCUUGUCAGUAGUUUUCAGUAAGAUAAAACUAGCUGACCUGUUGGACCUGCCUGAAAAGGCACGAGAACUGAGAAAGACAAAAGGUAGUAGAGUCCAGAGGUUUGGACCCUUAUUAUCUUGGAGACACCUUAUUAGUAAUUAGGGUCGCUGAUCCCCUUUUAUCAGGUGUCAGGCCUCUAUUAUUGUAGACUCAUCAUUGAGAUGUUAGUUUCUGGAGCUUCCUUAAAACACCACCAUGUCACCACUGGGAGAUGGUGCACACAGGCCUUUAAUACCAGCACUGCAGAGGCAGGUGGGUCUCCAAGUUCCAGGCCAGCCUGGUCUAC
Molecule: long non-coding RNA, 3916 nt
Filed under: Cricetulus griseus (Chinese hamster)
Lineage: Eukaryota; Metazoa; Chordata; Mammalia; Rodentia; Cricetidae
Description: lncRNA (ENSCGRG00015041833.1)
Source: RNAcentral